AAUGUGUGUGUGUGUGUGGCUUGGUUUAUUUCCAAAUCGCACAGUAACCCGCAUUCUAUGCUGGUUUUCAGCUGCCGUACAAAUGUUUCUCGCAAUUCUGCUAUUGUACUUUACUUUAGAGAGCGGUAAAGGAAUCAUCGAGUUUUCCUGUUCCCUUACAUUUUUCAUUGUAAUGCUCUUGUUAUCGGCUUGGCUAAUCGACGUACUCGUGCAGCACAAUUUAUUGGCAUUGACGAUAUAUAUGGUAACAUUCGCAUUCUCUGGCGUGUUUGUCAUUACCUAUCUGUUGCUUGUUGUUUUCAACGUCAUUGACAAGAGGGACCCAACGAUUAAUUAUGAGGCAUGGAAAGAUCAACUGAUUGCUGUAUUAUUUACAGUCAACUAUGUGUUCACAUUGGCUGCGUUGCAUUUAUAUCGCACAACAAUAUUGGCAGAGAAUGCGAGCCUGGAAAACACUUUCUAACGCGGACUAUUCUAUCUUUCGCUUGGAUGGGUCUGGUGCCAAAACAAUUUCGUUUAUUGUCUCCCCUUGCAUCUGUGUGGGGGAGCUGGCGUGGGGCAUGCAACAAAGAGUCAAGUGGUUGAGUGGCAUGCACGACUAGAGUUACAGCAAUGCCUGCUAUUCGCUACUCUACUCUUCUACGACUAGUUUUUUUAAUCUAUCUGACCUGGACUAUUGCUGCGUAACUUUUGAGUUUUAUCUGCCGACAGAUUUUUAUUAGCGCACCAUUUUAUCAUUGCCCCAGCGACCAGGAAGCCAAACAGCCGACAAUUCUACGUGCCUAGACAGUGGCAACUAGCAGCGGCAGGCAAGCAGACAAUCCAACCACACAAACACACACAAAGGCACACACACACACACACUCAAACACACACACACACAUAUAUAUGGUGUGCACAUUUCCAGCUCAAUUGCGCGCUCAAUGAAUAAUUUAGUUGAAAAUUUCGGCGCACUUUUUGUGUGAAAAUGCGGUCUAUACAGUUAUUUGAGUGCAACAGCCUAUCCACUCCCCCCUCCUCGCCUGUCAUCCACCCGCACCGUUCGUCUGCUCAGUCAGUCAUAAAAUUUAUGCGUUUUUCCUUACAGUUUUUCUCAUUUUGGUGGGAGCUCGGCUCUCGUUUGCCUCAUAAAAUGACUUGCGCAACAGUUGAAAAAUUCUAAACGCCGUCAUAAAUGCUAGACGACCAUGCCCCCGUGCCCCCCGUGAUGGCCGGCGUAGCUGCACUUUGCUGGCGUUGCCAUAUCAGCGCCAUAAAUAAAUUUUUCGUGUUUGA
This 1275-nucleotide small RNA is filed under the name Drosophila virilis. RNAcentral describes it as "GJ27002". Lineage: Eukaryota; Metazoa; Arthropoda; Insecta; Diptera; Drosophilidae. The record is from RNAcentral.